RNAcentral lists this unclassified non-coding RNA (269 nucleotides) under uncultured fungus. RNAcentral describes it as "sequence contains ITS1". Lineage: Eukaryota; Fungi. The record is from RNAcentral.
GUACUAGAUUUUAUAGGUCACGAAGAACCCACAAAAAAGACAUUCAAAGACAUACAAAGGGGUAUAUGAAGGACAUAGACUAUGAAAAUGCAAGGGAAGCGGAAAAACCGCAACCCUCAAUCCGAGAUUUUCACUCGAGAGGUAUUCAUAGUCUAGCUAAAGGUGCACAAGAGAAUAUGAAUAUGAACGAGCGUGCACAUGCUCCUGAGAGCCAGCUACAACCCGAGUCAACUUCAAUAAUGAUCCUUCCGCAGGUUCACCUACGGAAA